This 207-nucleotide ribosomal RNA is filed under the name uncultured bacterium. Its description in RNAcentral is "partial 16S ribosomal RNA". It matches the Rfam family "Bacterial small subunit ribosomal RNA", at positions 568 to 774 of the family's 1533-position model. The record is from RNAcentral.
CGCGUAGGCGGUUGAUUAAGUCGGAUGUGAAAGCCCUGGGCUUAACCUGGGAACUGCAUUCGAUACUGGUCGACUAGAGUACGAGAGAGGGAGGUAGAAUUCCACGUGUAGCGGUGAAAUGCGUAGAUAUGUGGAGGAAUACCGGUGGCGAAGGCGGCCUCCUGGCUUGAUACUGACGCUGAGGUGCGAAAGCGUGGGGAGCAAACA